RNAcentral lists this small nucleolar RNA (90 nucleotides) under Genlisea aurea. RNAcentral's name for it is "Small nucleolar RNA snoR8a". It matches the Rfam family "Small nucleolar RNA snoR8a". The record is from Rfam by way of RNAcentral. Lineage: Eukaryota; Viridiplantae; Streptophyta; Magnoliopsida; Lamiales; Lentibulariaceae.
GUGGCAGCGAUGAUUGGAAAAUAAUUCCUCGUUCUGAAUGCUGUGGUUACAGCGUGACAGACUCUUUUCCACCCAUAGAAUAUGAGCUCC